Molecule: non-coding RNA, 257 nt
Organism: Lonchura striata (white-rumped munia)
Lineage: Eukaryota; Metazoa; Chordata; Aves; Passeriformes; Estrildidae
Source: RefSeq, a predicted model, not a curated record
GCUGACUGUGCCUCGGAUUUAGAUGAUACCAAGAGAAAGAGGAGCAGUGUCCCUCUCCAUGCCCAGGACUUCCUCCUCGUGCUCAUCUGCUGGGGUCCUAUCCUUGCUGUCAGCUGGGUAAAUUUGCUGAAAACCAGAACUGCACAAAUAACUGAUAGGGGUGAGGGGUGGCCAGGCCGGAAAAAAAAUCAACAUAUUUGCCGUGGGGUAACCAGAAACGUCAUUUUAAUGAAAUAACUAUGUUUUGGGCCAAGCAA